AGAUCACAGAAACGUCCUUCCAGCUUCAGUUCGACAGACAGACACAGGAAGACGUCAGAAAAGAGGCAGAAGUGAAGACCUGAGGCUGUGAAGGAACAAAGAACCUGCAGAACUUGGGUCCUGAAAAUUCAAUGAGGGGAAAAAAGUACUUUGGCUUUUACUUCCAUCUUUAAGGCAGAAAAAUGGUUCUCAAAUCAUGGUACGAUUACCUCUGGGGAUACUUGGCCUGCCUUUUUGCACUCAUCAACUAUUCACAAG
Long non-coding RNA from Xiphophorus couchianus (Monterrey platyfish), 258 nucleotides. RefSeq lists it as uncharacterized. NCBI's taxonomy places the organism in Eukaryota, Metazoa, Chordata, Actinopteri, Cyprinodontiformes, Poeciliidae. The transcript is spliced from 3 exons. The record is from RefSeq and is a predicted model, not a curated record.